AUGGAGGCGUCUGGGGCAGAAGGACCGUCCCCGUUGUCCCCGUUGUCCCCAUUGUCCCCGUUGUCCCCGUUGUCCCCAUUGUCCCUGUUGGCCCUGUUGGCCUCGUUGCGUCCUUUGGGCCCAUUUUCCCCGUUGUCCCCAUUGGCCCCGUCAUCCCUGUUGGCCCCAUUGUUCCUGUUGGCUCCGUUGUCCCCAUUGGCCCCAUUGGCCCUGUUGGCCCCAUUGUCCCUAUUGGCCCCAUUGUCCCCAUUGGCCCCAUUGUCCCCAUCGGCCCCAUUGGCCCUGUUGGCCCCAUUGUCCCUGUUGGCUCCGUUGUCACCAUUGUCCCCAUUGGCCCUGUUGGCCCCAUUGUCCCUAUUGGCCCCAUUGUCCCCAUUGUCCCCAUCGGCCCCAUUGGCCCUGUUGGCCCCAUUGUCCCCAUUGUCCCCAUUGUCCCCAUCAGCCCCACUGGCCCCAUUGUCCCCAUUGGCCCCAUUGGCCCCGUUGGCCCCAUUGUCCCCAUCAUCCCCAUUGUCCCCAUUGGCCCCAUUGGCCCCGUUGUCCCCAUUGUCCCCAUCAUCCCCAUUGUCCCCAUUGGCCCCAUUGGCCCCGUUGGCCCUGUUGGCCCCGUUGUCCCCAUUGUCCCCAUCAUCCCCAUUGUCCCCAUUGGCCCCAUUGGCCCCGUUGGCCCUGUUGGCCCCGUUGUCCCCAUUGGCCCCAUUGGCCCCGUUGGCCCCAUUGGCCCCAUUGGCCCCGUUGGCCCCGUCAUCCCUGUUGGCUCCGUUGUCCCCAUUGUCCCUGUUGGCCCCAUUGUCCCCAUUGUCCCCAUUGGCCCCAUUGGCCCCAUUGGCCCCAUUGGCCCCGUUGGCCCUGUUGGCCCCGUUGGCCCCGUUGUCCCCAUUGUCCCCAUUGGCCCCAUUGGCCCCGUUGGCCCCGUCAUCCCUGUUGGCUCCGUUGUCCCCAUUGUCCCUGUUGGCCCCAUUGUCCCCAUUGUCCCCAUUGGCCCCAUUGGCCCCAUUGGCCCCAUUGGCCCCGUUGGCCCUGUUGGCCCCGUUGGCCCCGUUGUCCCCAUUGUCCCCAUUGGCCCCAUUGGCCCCGUUGGCCCCGUCAUCCCUGUUGGCUCCGUUGUCCCCAUUGUCCCCACUGGUCCUGUUGUCCCCAUUGGCCCCAUUGGCCCCAUCGGCCCCGGCGCCGUUGUUCCCCCGAAGGUCAAGGGCGCCCGGGGGGACGCGUCAACCUCUACCAGAGCAAUAA
RNAcentral lists this long non-coding RNA (1233 nucleotides) under Bubo bubo (Eurasian eagle-owl). RNAcentral describes it as "lncRNA (ENSBOBG00000008468.1)". Lineage: Eukaryota; Metazoa; Chordata; Aves; Strigiformes; Strigidae. The record is from RNAcentral.